Molecule: ribosomal RNA, 253 nt
Filed under: uncultured bacterium
Lineage: Bacteria
Description: partial 16S ribosomal RNA
Rfam family: Bacterial small subunit ribosomal RNA
Source: RNAcentral
UACGUAGGGUGCAAGCGUUGUCCGGAAUUAUUGGGCGUAAAGAGCUCGUAGGCGGCUUGUCACGUCGGCUGUGAAAACCUGGGGCUCAACCCCGGGCCUGCAGCCGAUACGGGCAAGCUAGAAUUCGGUAGGGGAGACUGGAAUUCCUGGUGUAGCGGUGGAAUGCGCAGAUAUCAGGAGGAACACCGGUGGCGAGGGCGGUUCUCUGGGCCUUACCUGACGCUGAGGAGCGAAAGCGUGGGGAGCGAACAGG